RNAcentral lists this ribosomal RNA (266 nucleotides) under uncultured bacterium. RNAcentral describes it as "partial 16S ribosomal RNA". It matches the Rfam family "Bacterial small subunit ribosomal RNA", at positions 96 to 353 of the family's 1533-position model. The record is from RNAcentral.
UGGCGAACGGGUGAGUAAUACAUAAGUAACCUGCCCUAGACAGGGGGAUAACUAUUGGAAACGAUAGCUAAGACCGCAUAGGUACGGACACUGCAUGGUGACCGUAUUAAAAGUGCCUCAAGGCACUGGUAGAGGAUGGACUUAUGGCGCAUUAGCUGGUUGGCGGGGUAACGGCCCACCAAGGCGACGAUGCGUAGCCGACCCGAGAGGGUGACCGGCCACACUGGGACUGAGACACGGCCCAAACUCCUACGGGAGGCAGCAUG